UACGAAGGGGGCUAGCGUUGCUCGGAAUCACUGGGCGUAAAGCGCACGUAGGCGGUCUCUUAAGUCGGUGGUGAAAUCCUGGAGCUCAACUCCAGAACUGCCUUCGAUACUGAGAGUCUCGAGUCCGGGAGAGGUGAGUGGAACUGCGAGUGUAGAGGUGAAAUUCGUAGAUAUUCGCAAGAACACCAGUGGCGAAGGCGGCUCACUGGCCCGGUACUGACGCUGAGGUGCGAAAGCGUGGGGAGCGAACAGG
RNAcentral lists this ribosomal RNA (253 nucleotides) under uncultured bacterium. RNAcentral describes it as "partial 16S ribosomal RNA". It matches the Rfam family "Bacterial small subunit ribosomal RNA", at positions 524 to 776 of the family's 1533-position model. The record is from RNAcentral.